UACGUAGGGCGCAAGCGUUGUCCGGAAUUAUUGGGCGUAAAGAGCUCGUAGGCGGCUUGUCACGUCGGAUGUGAAAGCCCGAGGCUUAACCUCGGGUCUGCAUUCGAUACGGGCUAGCUAGAGUGUGGUAGGGGAGAUCGGAAUUCCUGGUGUAGCGGUGAAAUGCGCAGAUAUCAGGAGGAACACCGGUGGCGAAGGCGGAUCUCUGGGCCGUAACUGACGCUGAGGAGCGAAAGCAUGGGUAGCGAACAGG
RNAcentral lists this ribosomal RNA (253 nucleotides) under uncultured bacterium. RNAcentral describes it as "partial 16S ribosomal RNA". It matches the Rfam family "Bacterial small subunit ribosomal RNA", at positions 524 to 776 of the family's 1533-position model. The record is from RNAcentral.